GUGAUUAUGUCGAAACAGUUCCUCUAAAGUGACAAUUCAUAAAAAUUACUCUAUUUCAAAAGUACGACUGACCGUAAAAUGACCUGGCUACAUCCCAUUAUCUAGCUGAAGUGCUUACUUUAAGCUACAUACAAGAAUGCAUAUGUAUAAUUCCAUGAUUAGGUAAAAUUUGUAUCAAUCUAGUGUCUUUUAUUAGCAAUUUAAAGACAGGCAUUUAUUAAAGGUUUCUUCUUUCUGUUCAGCUUGUUUUUAUAUGGUAGUGG
Molecule: long non-coding RNA, 263 nt
Filed under: Mytilus galloprovincialis (Mediterranean mussel)
Lineage: Eukaryota; Metazoa; Mollusca; Bivalvia; Mytilida; Mytilidae
Source: RNAcentral